This 440-nucleotide ribosomal RNA is filed under the name uncultured bacterium. RNAcentral describes it as "partial 16S ribosomal RNA". It matches the Rfam family "Bacterial small subunit ribosomal RNA", at positions 338 to 795 of the family's 1533-position model. The record is from RNAcentral.
CCUACGGGAGGCAGCAGUGGGGAAUAUUGCACAAUGGGGGAAACCCUGAUGCAGCGACGCCGCGUUAGCGAUGAAGUAUUUCGGUAUGUCAAGCUCUAUCAGCAGGGAAGAAAAUGACGGUACCUGCCUAAGAAGCAGCGGCUAACUACUUGCCAGCAGCCGCGGUAAUACGGAGUGGGCAAGCGUUAUUCGGCUUUACUGGGUGUAAAGGGAGCGUAGUCGGCUGUGCAAGGCAGAUGUGAAAGCCAGGGGCUCAACCCCGGGACUGCAUUUGGAACUGUGUGGCUGGAGUGUCGGAGAGGCAGGCGGAAUUCCUAGUGUAGCGGUGAAAUGCGUAGAUAUUAGGAGGAACACCAGUGGCGAAGGCGGCCUGCUGGACGAUGACUGACGUUGAGGCUCGAAAGCGUGGGGAGCAAACAGGAUUAGAUACCCCAGUAGUC